RNAcentral lists this ribosomal RNA (1108 nucleotides) under Glyphiulus guangnanensis. RNAcentral's name for it is "partial large subunit ribosomal RNA". It matches the Rfam family "Eukaryotic large subunit ribosomal RNA", at positions 86 to 803 of the family's 3401-position model. Lineage: Eukaryota; Metazoa; Arthropoda; Diplopoda; Spirostreptida; Cambalopsidae. The record is from RNAcentral.
ACUGCGAGUGAAGAGGAUGAGCCCAGCACCGAAGCCUCUGUCGAAUUUCGGCAGUUGUGCAAUGUGGUGUAAGGGAAGGUACGUUCCAGUGGGGUGCUAGGUGUCUAAGUCCCCCUGACUGGGGCCAUGACCCUCGGAGGGUGCAAGGCCCGUGUGGCCCGGCAUGUUCUCUGUUCCCUACUGGUCUGACCUUUCCCAGGAGUCGGGUUGCUUGAGAGUGCAGCCCUAAGUGGGUGGUAAACUCCAUCUAAGGCUAAAUACUUGACACGAGACCGAUAGCAAACAAGUACCGUGAGGGAAAGUUGCAAAGAACUUUGAAGAGAGAGUUCAAGAGUGCGUGAAACCGUUCGGAGGUAAACGGGUGGGACCUCGAAGGUCGAACGGAUGGGGCUGGAUUCAACCCGUUGCCUUUCGUGCUCCGAGAACGAGUAGUUAAUCUGUCAGUGAUUUCGAUUUCGAAAAACUGUGCGGACUGCACGUCUCGGAUGCGCAUUGGAACGACGGGUGCAUUUCCUGUUUCCCCCUUCCUAGUAGGACGCUGCGACCGGUCGGAAUUUUUUGAACGCGGGAGACCAGAAGCGGGGCCUAUUGGUAGCUGCACGGUGUUGGUCGGCUUUCGAGUCGCAUCCGGUUGUCUGGCCAGGCCAUGGCGUAGUGUCUCUCUUUCCGACCGAGGAAACAUUUGUUUUGGCUUUCCUUUCAAGGAGCCAUACGAACGUACCCGCUUGCCGCUUGUCGUGCAGAGCUCGGAGCAGACUGAGUCUACCGGGUGGUGCUUGUCGUCCGGGCGUCGAGGUCCUUUGUGGCUUCCGCUCGUUUGACGACUUCGCAUCUACCGACAGCGAAGGGCGCAGGCUCCCGAUUUUAUUGGGUAUGCCGGAGGUUCAGCAGCGAGUAGGUUGGUAACCCACCCGACCCGUCUUGAAACACGGACCAAGGAGUCUAACAUGCUUGCAAGUCUUCGGGGCCUGACAAACCCUAAGGAGGCGCAAUGAAAGUAAAGGUGGAAUUUAUCUUUCACCUAGGCAAGAUCCCUUCGGCUUCGGCCGUCGGGCGCACUGCUGGCCCGCCCUAUGGUCGCUUUGCGAUCGGGCGGAGCCUAGAGCCG